Molecule: ribosomal RNA, 500 nt
Filed under: uncultured bacterium
Lineage: Bacteria
Description: partial 16S ribosomal RNA
Rfam family: Bacterial small subunit ribosomal RNA
Source: RNAcentral
AUUGAACGCUGGCGGCAGGCCUAACACAUGCAAGUCGAGCGGAUGAAGGGAGCUUGCUCCUGGAUUCAGCGGCGGACGGGUGAGUAAUGCCUAGGAAUCUGCCUGGUAGUGGGGGACAACGUUUCGAAAGGAACGCUAAUACCGCAUACGUCCUACGGGAGAAAGCAGGGGACCUUCGGGCCUUGCGCUAUCAGAUGAGCCUAGGUCGGAUUAGCUAGUUGGUGAGGUAAUGGCUCACCAAGGCGACGAUCCGUAACUGGUCUGAGAGGAUGAUCAGUCACACUGGAACUGAGACACGGUGCAGACGCCUACGGGAGGCAGCAGUGGGGAAUAUUUGACGAUGGGCGAAAGCCGGAUCCAGCCAUGCCGCGUGUGUGAAGAAGGUCUUCGGAUUGUAAAGCACUUUAAGUUGGGAGGAAGGGUUGUAGAUUAAUACUCUGCAAUUUUGACGUUACGGACAGAAUAAGCACCGGCUAACUCUGUGCCAGCCGCCGCGGUAA